UACGAAGGGGGCUAGCGUUGCUCGGAAUGACUGGGCGUAAAGGGCGCGUAGGCGGAUGGCACAGUCAGAUGUGAAAUUCCCGGGCUUAACCUGGGGCUGCAUUUGAUACGUGUGAUCUAGAGUGAGGAAGAGGGUCGUGGAAUUCCCCAGUGUAGAGGUGAAAUUCGUAGAUAUUGGGAAGAACACCGGUGGCGAAGGCGGCGACCUGGUCCUUGACUGACGCUGAGGCGCGAAAGCGUGGGGAGCAAACAGG
Molecule: ribosomal RNA, 253 nt
Filed under: uncultured bacterium
Lineage: Bacteria
Description: partial 16S ribosomal RNA
Rfam family: Bacterial small subunit ribosomal RNA
Source: RNAcentral